CGAGAAGAGGAAGAAGAGGAGACGGAUGUGGACGGUGGAAAGGAUGUUGCGCCUCGUCGAUAACGACCACGUGGGGUUCCGAUCGCGGAGUACACGCCGUGGAACCAGCCACGAUAAUUUCCCAGACGUUAGGACAAAGGAUCGAGCCGUUUCGACGGUGAAAAUUUGAGGACUUGAUUUACGAAGACGGAGAAGAGGAAGGAGAAGGAGAAGGAGAAGAAACGCACAACGAAGCACGUGAAGAAGCAAGAAGACCUGCUGCGUACGGAACGAUGGAGAGCGAAAGAAAAAUUGAAUAGCGAGGGAAAGGGAUGAAGAGAACGAUUGGGUAAGGAGUCAAGACGGGCCGCUGUGAAUGGAACACGUGUACGGUGUCACAUCUAUCUGAAAAGUUCAUCGUUACAAAAAGAUCUCUUGAAAGAGUUUCCUAGAAUGUGAGCUAUCUCUCCGGGGCCAUGGUGGCGAGUGUGUAAUCGAAGGAAUCGUAGAACACUUUUCUCAUGCAAAUACACGCGAUGCGGGGCCCCGGAGUAAAGGACAACGAACUUCUUCGCUCUGCUUAAAACUUCCAACUUAGGUCCUUUUAAAUUUAAAUGCUUUUUUCCCCCUCCACGCUCGCACUCUCGAGCCAGCCGUGCAGGCGUUCUUCUUCCACCCCGUCGAUGUCGCGAAGACGACGAUGAAAAAAGGAGGAAAGAAACGAAACGAUAAUUUUACGAGAGAGAACCGUCGUCGAGCUACACACUUUUUUACAAUUUGAAUAACAUUUGUUACAUAUUCGGAAAACUAUGAUAACGCAUUUGGAAAAUAGUUUCCAGGGGAACGGUAAAAAUUGGAUCAGCCUAGGCGAGGGAAAUUUUCCAUCAUUUUCCCCGCACACCUCGCGCCGCGUCAUUGUUUUCCAAACGGUGGGUGAAAUUUUACAACGUCCAUAAAAGAUCGAACGCCGGGUAUUCACGCUUUGGUAAUUAUUGAAACGAAUAAAAUUUUCACUCUGUACGUAAUAAUAAGCGGCUGAAACGAAUAUACCCCGUAAUAAUUACGAAAACGUGCGCUGGAAUCGUAGUAAUGCCGGGGGUAGGGGAACGUAUCAAAAAUUAUUAUUUGCCGCGCGAUGUCCAAUGACCAGAAAAAUAUUUGCCUAUAACACGCUUGGUGGCUGGUCGUGUGCUCGACGCUGGCUGCCUCGAUGCGAUCGCCAAUUUGAAAUUCGAAUUAUUAUAAUUACGGUGCCCGAUUAAAAAUGAGAAGGCGAGAGAGAGAGAGAGAGAGAGUGGGGGGGGGGGGGAGGGACGCGUAACCUCCGCUGUUCGAUGAUAUAAUUAUAAAGAGUUACAUGGUAGAAUGCGUCUACGAGCUUCGCUUAUUAAACCGAAAAUUUCAUGCGCAUUAAAUUAAGAAUAGAUUGUAUGCAUUAUCAUGUACACAUC
Long non-coding RNA from Habropoda laboriosa, 1430 nucleotides. RefSeq lists it as uncharacterized. The record is from RefSeq and is a predicted model, not a curated record. The transcript has 4 exons. Lineage: Eukaryota; Metazoa; Arthropoda; Insecta; Hymenoptera; Apidae.